AAGUCCUGCUGGGGGAGCUUCGGCUGAGAGGAGGCCCACUUCGGGUCUCGACCCCUUGAACCUGCUCAGGGUAAUGCCUGCGUAGGGAAGCAGUUCGCCGUUUUC
RNAcentral lists this non-coding RNA (105 nucleotides) under Fervidicola ferrireducens. Its description in RNAcentral is "TPP sequence". It matches the Rfam family "TPP riboswitch aptamer (THI element)". Rfam says of the family: Vitamin B(1) in its active form thiamin pyrophosphate (TPP) is an essential coenzyme that is synthesised by coupling of pyrimidine and thiazole moieties in bacteria. The previously detected thiamin-regulatory element, thi box was extended, resulting in a new, highly conserved RNA secondary structure, the THI element, which is widely distributed in eubacteria and also occurs in some archaea. Lineage: Bacteria; Bacillati; Bacillota; Clostridia; Thermosediminibacterales; Thermosediminibacteraceae. The record is from Rfam by way of RNAcentral.